AUGGCCGGCGGCAGAGCUCACCGGGCCUGGCAGCGGAGGGCACACGCGGUGGCGGCCAUGGCCGCGAGCAGCAGCUGCGCGAGCUCGGGUGCGGAGACCCUCCUGCACGACGCUGUCACCACCGAGGCCUCGACCAAGACGUGCCGCGACCUGGAGCUCCGCCUCGCGGCCGUGCUCGACCAGGCCACCGCGGGCGACCUGCUCGCCUUCGCGUUCAAUGGCGCUGGUGAGCGCGUCAUUAACACCGAAUCGCUCCGGCGUGUCAUCGCCGCGUUUGUGGAGCGCGAGUCCGGCGCCGGGCGGAACAGGAGGGCGUCGCUGUCCGGAGCGGCGGCGCUGGGCGCAGGGGUGCUGCAGAAGGUGGCCAAGAUGGUGGACGAAGUGGCGGCGGAGAUCGCGACGGACGAGUCCCUACCGAUAUCCAAGUUCGUGGGCGUCGCCGGCGGGAGGCACACGCUCCAGCAGCGGCGCAGGCUGUACACGCGAGCUCCGGCGGCUGCCGGCGCGGCUCGCCGGCCGAACGAGGCGGCGUCGAGAGGAACUGCGCCAGUGGUGCUGUGA
This 561-nucleotide ribosomal RNA is filed under the name Triticum aestivum (bread wheat). RNAcentral's name for it is "partial small subunit ribosomal RNA". Lineage: Eukaryota; Viridiplantae; Streptophyta; Magnoliopsida; Poales; Poaceae. The record is from RNAcentral.